Salvia hispanica is the source of this 232-nucleotide non-coding RNA. Lineage: Eukaryota; Viridiplantae; Streptophyta; Magnoliopsida; Lamiales; Lamiaceae. The record is from RefSeq and is a predicted model, not a curated record.
GAGAAGUUGGAAGAUGAGGAAGGGCCUCGAGAGGAAGGUUGGAUUAGUGGGAUGUUCGAUUUCUCUGAAUAAGGUUGGUUGCUUAUUCAAAAAAGGAAUCACGACUAUAUACCAGAUACAUGAUACACAUCUGCACCCUACUACCCUCUGUAGUAUGGUAUGUAUACUGUUGUAAAUAUAACAUUCUUGCUGUUUCUGGAGAAGGGUUGAUAUAAGAAGAUGAAUUUUGGGA